RNAcentral lists this ribosomal RNA (228 nucleotides) under Triticum aestivum (bread wheat). RNAcentral describes it as "partial small subunit ribosomal RNA". Lineage: Eukaryota; Viridiplantae; Streptophyta; Magnoliopsida; Poales; Poaceae. The record is from RNAcentral.
AUGGCUCUUCCGCCACAAGCUCAAGUCCGACGGCUCGCUCGAACGCUACAAGGCACGCUGGGUGGUGCGCGGCUUCUCGUAGCGCCCCGGCGUCGACUUCGACGAGACAUUCUCUCCGGUGGUCAAGGCGGCCACCAUCCGCGUCGUGCUCACCAUCGCCGCCACGCGCCAGUGGCCAGUGCACCAGAUGGACGUCAACAACGCGUUCCUCCACGGGCAUCUCUCUGA